RNAcentral lists this ribosomal RNA (295 nucleotides) under Pseudopelmatops angustifasciatus. Its description in RNAcentral is "partial 28S ribosomal RNA". The record is from RNAcentral. Lineage: Eukaryota; Metazoa; Arthropoda; Insecta; Diptera; Tephritidae.
AGGUUAAGCCCGAUGAACCUGAAUAUCCAUUAUGAAAAAUUCAUCAUUAUACCGGAUAAUAUUAUAUAUUUAUUAUUAAUAUUAUUUGUGAUAGUGUGCAUUUUUUUCAUAUAAGGACAUUGUGAUCUAUUAACAUAAUAAAUAAUAUUUAUCAAAAGAUCAUUAGCUUAAGUUUAUUUGAAUUAAUUUGCUUUAAAAACAUAUUAACAUAAAAUAAAUGCAAUUGAUUUGAUAAAGUGUUGAUAGAUUUAUUAUAUAUAAUGCUUAAAUUGAUUGAAAUUUUACAAUAAUAUUG